This 1392-nucleotide ribosomal RNA is filed under the name Alloproctoides dawydoffi. Its description in RNAcentral is "SSU rRNA". It matches the Rfam family "Eukaryotic small subunit ribosomal RNA", at positions 1 to 1340 of the family's 1831-position model. The record is from RNAcentral. Lineage: Eukaryota; Metazoa; Arthropoda; Diplopoda; Polyxenida; Lophoproctidae.
GUAUCUAAUGUGUGAACGCGUGCGCUCCGCGAGGCAUGCUAGUGUGCAGAGUUGCUGGUUGAUCCUGCCAGUAGUCAUAUGCUUGUCUCAAAGACUAAGCCAUGCAUGUGUAAGUACACACCAUCCUAAGGUGAGACCGCGAAUGGCUCAUUAAAUCAGUUAUGGUUCAUUAGAUGAGUCCAAUCCUACUUGGAUAACUGUGGCAAUUCUAGAGCUAAUACACGCUUGGCACCUUUGACCUCACGGGAGGAGUGCCUUUAUUAGACCAAGACCAAUCGGACUCCGGUCCGUUACUUUGGUGAUUCUGAAUAACCUUUUGAAGAUCGCACGGUCUCGAACUGGCGACGCAUCUUUCAAAUGUCUGCCUUAUCAACUGUCGAUGGUAGGUUAUGUGCCUACCAUGGUUGUAACGGGUAACGGAGAAUCAGGGUUUGAUUCCGGAGAGGGAGCCUGAGAAACGGCUGCCACAUCCAAGGAAGGCAGCAGGCACGCAAAUUACCCACUCCCGGCACGGGGAGGUAGUGACGAAAAAUAACGAUGCGGGACUCUUCCGAGGCCCCGUAAUCGGAAUGAGUACACUUUAAAUCCUUUAGCGAGGAUCAAUUGGAAGGCAAGUCUGGUGUCAGCAGCUGCGGUAAUUCCAGCUCCAAUAGCGUAUACUAAAGUUGUUGCGGCUAAAAAGCUCGUAGUUGGAUUUCAGUCGUAGGCCGGUGGUCCACCUCAUGGUGGCUACUGCCUUGGCCUAGGCACCCUGCCGGCUCUCCCGCGAUGCUCUUGACCGGGUGUCGUGGGUGGCCGGAACGUUUACUUUGAAAAAAUUAGAGUGCUCCAAGCAGGCGCUACAGCCUGAACAACACAGCAUGGAAUAAUGGAACAGGACCUUGGUUCUGUUUUGUUGGCCUUUGGAAGCUAAGGUAAUGAUUAAUAGGGACGGACGGGGGCAUCCGUAUUGCGACGCCAGAGGUGAAAUUCUUGGACCGUCGCAAGACUAACUACUGCGAAAGCAUUUGCCAAGAACGCUUUCAUUAAUCAAGAACGAAAGUCAGAGGUUCGAAGGCGAUCAGAUACCGCCCUAGUUCUGACCAUAAACUAUGCCAACCAGCGAUCCGCCGGAGUUAAUCCCAUGACUCGGCGGGCAGCUUCCGGGAAACCAAAGUGUUUGGGUUCCGGGGGAAGUAUGGUUGCAAAGCUGAAACUUAAAGGAAUUGACGGAAGGGCACCACCAGGAGUGGAGCCUGCGGCUUAAUUUGACUCAACACGGGACACCUCACCCGGCCCGGACACCGGAAGGAUUGACAGACUGAGAGCUCUUUCUUGAUUCGGUGGGUGGUGGUGCAUGGCCGUUCUUAGUUGGUGGAGUGAUCUGUCUGGUUAAUUCCGAUACGAACGAGA